CGGCCCCCCAGCCAGGGGUCCUUACUAGGCUGGCGGCUCUCGGCCCCUUCGCCUUCCCUCGCAAACCUACCCCCACCUCCAACACUCCGAGCGGACUCAGCGCAAGGAAGGAAACCCGGAACGGGGGCGGCGGCCCGAGGCGCACGCACGCUACCAGCUUCCGGCAAUCCACGGGUUAAAACGAAGCGGCGGCGCGCGCGGAGGGGAGAGGCGGUUGCUGACAGGUGGCGCCUGCGCACUGGGAUCGCUCAUUGUGCCCCGCAGCUGCCUAGCCGCCCGCCCGCCGCCCGUUCGGCGAGUCAGUCGGCGGAGAGUCCAGUGGUGGGUGCGGAUCUUGAGAUCGUUCCUGCGGCCUCUUCUUCCUCCCCGUUCCCCUCACCCUACCCCACACCCUUUACCUUCUUCCCAGCUCCGUCACCCUCCCGCCCCCCACACUCGAGACGAGAAUGCCCUGCCCGGAACAACCUAGCAGCGCCUAGAUGGCUUUGGUCACGGUCCAGCGGUCGCCUACCCCCAGCACCACCUCCAGCCCCUGCGCCUCGAAUCUUUGUGAAGACCCAAGAGAUACAGUGAAGUUCCACCUUACUAGAAUGCUAAAGCAAGCAUAUUAUACAAAAGUCAAAUUACUAAAUAGUAAAAAUUAUCCUUCAAAAUAUCUUGUGAAUCUCCCAAUAGAGAACAAUAUGCAUGGUUUUGAGCAUACAACUCUAUAACUGCCUAAUAAUACUCAGGUUCUCCCAGCUCAUGCUCACUUUUUUGCAUGCACCUAUUGAGUUUAAUUAUGUACACUAGAACAUUUUAUUCAUAUUUAUUCUUUACUCUGAACGUGAAGCCAAAUUACCAUAAAUAAAAUGCAUAUUUGAUGCAGCAGCCAAUUUAUUAUGGUGAAAUGCUUAGCAUAGAACCUGGCUUUUUAAGUCCUUUAGGCUGCUAAUUUUACCUUUGGUGCACCAUAUGAUGUUUGAAGAUGAAAUUGCAGUUGUUUGGCUUACGGCUCCUGACUGUGUGUAAUGGAUCAAUGAUGAUAUUUUUUCCUCCCACAUCAGCCAAUAUUUAUGACAGAUGCAUGUGGCCAAGGGAAUAAUGUCAAUGUAGGAUUAUUAAUUAUUAAUUCAGGAAAAAACUCUUAACAUAAUUGUCUCCAAAGUUAACUGAUCCCAAAC
RNAcentral lists this long non-coding RNA (1163 nucleotides) under Fukomys damarensis (Damara mole-rat). Its description in RNAcentral is "lncRNA (ENSFDAG00000026352.1)". Lineage: Eukaryota; Metazoa; Chordata; Mammalia; Rodentia; Bathyergidae. The record is from RNAcentral.